This 2716-nucleotide long non-coding RNA is filed under the name Arabidopsis thaliana (thale cress). Its description in RNAcentral is "potential natural antisense gene, locus overlaps with AT1G27920 (AT1G27921)". Lineage: Eukaryota; Viridiplantae; Streptophyta; Magnoliopsida; Brassicales; Brassicaceae. The record is from RNAcentral.
CUCCCACUUACAGUAUAGUGUGAUGACUGACCAGUGUCUCAGUGAUAAUAAUAAUAAACCUUCAUUUAUAUUAAUUAUAUAAUUCUUUGACCAAAAAAUAAUACUAAUUCCAUAAUUGAGACGGUGGAUCGUUCCGCCGGACCAACGCCGGGUGGGUAGCUGUCGCGUCGUGACGCAGACUAAUUAGUGAUUACAGAGGAUUAUACUUUUAUUUUUGAAUGUGAAAACAUAUACAAAUGAACAAGUGUCUCAAGGAGACAAUGGACCUGAAAACAGUGACACAACAGAACUUGUGUCAUCACGAUUAAGCCUAAAGACAGGACUUCCACUUCCAAAUCCACCAUUCAUGCUUCGAUUUGAUAUUCGCCUAUUGCUGCUAGCUGGCCUUGCCAUGUAAAAAUUAUCUCCCUCAGCCACAGGUUGUGGAAUGCUCAUCUUCUUCAUUUCCUGCAUUUUAUUGUCAAUCAGCUUAUUGUAUUCUUGCAACAUUGCAACAAGAGGUACCUGGAUAACUCUUAACAGGUGAUGAUUACUCUAUCUAAUUUAGAGUUUCUCUUUGUUAAUUCAAAAAGGCAUCAAGUUGUGUUACCUCAUUGUAUAAGAAGACUUUCUGUCUUUCUACCUCCCAGCUCUUAGCCUUAACCAAUAUAGAUUCCACUAAUCCUGGUCCAAAUAUUAUAGAAGGGUCAGUGACUAGUUUGCUUCCUAACUUAAGAAAAUGCAGGGUCAUUUGUAGCUUUAUUUGUGUUGGACCCUAAGGAACUGCUUAUAUUACCUGAGAUUUUGCUGACUGUUAUGCGUGCCCGUUCUGCUCUCCUUAGGUUUCGAUGAGCAUUUCUACUUACUGAGUACCGAUUCUCGUCCUGUGACAACGUUAGUGUUUCUUGUAUGAGUUAGACUACAGAGAUAACAUUUAGUUACUUUCAUAGAAAAGAGAUUGGAACCUGGUCAUAUUCUUCUAGCCAGCGCUCUUCAUCACUUGCCAACAUCCACCUAUCAACUUUUUCAAUUAUUCCUUUUCUACUUGCUGCUUCUUCCUUUGCUCUUGCUAUCUUUUCAUCCAUGGCGGCUAGAAGGUCAACAUGGUCAACUUCCCCUUUGAAAUAGAGGACAAAACUCUGCAAUGAGUUUGACAUGUAUAACAAAGACACGCAGCAGUUGCAGAAAGUUACAAUUAGUCAAACCAGAGUCUACAAGUUGAUCUAGUCUCUUGACUUCAGCCUCAGCCUUGGGAAAAAUUUGCACAAAGAAAAGGCGGUUACCACCAGCCAUCAUUGGAGCACACACGUCUGAUGGUGCGGACGACAGUAAAUCAAUGACAUGAAAAAACUUUUGACGAUCUUCAUAAGAUGCAUCCAUCAGAUUCCACAGGUUCGAUAAAGCUCUACCAAGAUGGUGAAGCUGCACACAUGAUGUCUUAAAAGUUCAGAUAAGAUAACAACCUCUUUUCUCUUUGAUAAAUGUGCAUCUCUUUACUGAUUUGUGUUUCAACUUAUAUCUGUUAAGUUUUAUGUUCUUAGGAUAGAUAAUGAAUUGAAACAUUUCUAGUUAGCUUCACCUUUUCAAGGCGCUUGUGCUUUUCCUCUUCCAGAGACACAACAGUGCCAUUAAGCUUUUUUAAGAUAUCAUCACUGAUGUUUUUGGAUAUUCCAUAGAGGUCGUUCAAGCUUGGGUGAAUCUUUGUUAUGAUCAUUGAUGCUUCUGUUCCCAAUGUUGCUGAUAGAUCUCGAAUGGCGCAUAUGUAUAUAUCAACCUUCUGUAGUCUCUCAUUCUUGUGUGACAGAACAAUGAAAGACAACAUGAUGGAGAAGCCAAAACUGUCUGAUAAGUAAAACACAUGCAUGUUGACCAAAAAAAAAACAUUGUUCCCAAUUUGGUAUUACAAAAUGUACCUUCUCAUCAUGGAGUCUAUGCAGUUCAUUCUGAUAUUCCUCAAGUUUUUUAUUAGAAAGAUCGUUGUCAUCUAUGGUUAUCUUUCUAGUUGAGUCUUCAUAUGUCGAUCUACCUGCUAUUUCUGCUGAUAUUUUCUGAAUUUCCCCUUUGACAGAUCGGAACUGCUUCACUCUCUCGUCUUUCCUAAGCCUCAUCUCACGCAGUGCAGGCGCAAUAGAAUCCAGCUGCUCCCUCAGUGUUCCUCCCUUUUUCUCCGGCUGUAUAGAGAAUGACAACAAAAUUAUCUAUGAUAGGUACUGAUCUUUCACCGAGGCACAAAAGAAAAUGGGUGAGUUCGGCUUCAGAUUCUGCCAGCUCUUGAUGUAGACGAGACCUCGAAACAUUGGCAUGGUCAACUUUUCUCCGGUUUUGCUUUGAAGACAAGUGUGAAAGUGACACAUAUUCUGCUACAGAAGCUUCUUGUUUAAGUGAAGGCUCAUCCGCAUCUCCCUCCUCCUCUUUGAUUCUUCAGUUUAUGUCUCUUUCUCUUUCUCUCUCUCAACUUCAUCUGAAUUUGGUAAAGCUUAGAAGUCGCUUUUGUGCUGAUGCGUUUGCUUCUGCUGUAUGAAAAGCCAGAGAGAGAUGUUUUUUUUUGUAUAUACUACACAAAACUUGAUUCGUAAGCAAACCUGUAGUGCUAACUUUUUUGCUUAUUACUGUUUUAUCUGAACACAAAAUCGAAAUAGACAGAGAUUCUUCACCAUGUGGGUUCUUACAACAUAGCUUCUUUUUCUUUGUGGCUUAGAUUUUGGUUAUCAAGUUCUUUCUGAAUUUCCCCCCCCCC